AUGGCAGUAGCUUUCGUAAUAACUAGUGCCUACGCCAAUUCUGGGGAUUAGUUGCCAAGUGGACCCCAGGCUCCCAUGAGCCGUGGCAAAAUGCCGGGACAACGCGAGGAACAUGAUGGUACAUUUUGAUGUAUUCAAAACGUACUUAAAUAUAAAAUACAGUACGUAGCGGCCCCCUUUUUUAAAUAUCUUUCGUUAAAUUUAAAUAAUCAUGAUUAUUUAGCAGUGGCGCUAGUGUGCACAUUGAUGGGCUCUUUUGCGGCGUUAAAUUGGCAUUCACUGCAGCUGCAAUUUUAUUAGUAAUUUUGCAAUAUUUUACGCAUCUUGGUAUCCUUUUGUCUAUGUUGUUUUGUAACGAUUAAUUUUCGUAUAAAAUGUAUUACUUAACAAAGAUAAUUAAAAGAACCUUGUUUUCUGUAAACAAGGUGGAAAAUGUAAUCCAAUUAAAAACAAUAGAUUAUACAUACAUAUUAUACGACCUUUUCAUACUUACUAGUUAAGAAUUUUGUGAAUUGUUACUGGAUUGUUUUAUUUACAAUUUACGUGUUUUGUAAUUACAAUUACAUUUAGGUACUGUUAGCUAAAAGAAAAUAUACGCUGGGUAAAAUUUGAGACCGUUUGAGUAUACCAAUAGACAUUUUAUUUUACCUGAAUGCAAGUUUUAAUGUUAAGAGUACAAUAUUUCAGAGUUUUGCCUGUACUUAUGUACAAUUUGUAAAAUAUUAUUUUUAAGUUGUUCCAUAGAUAUGAAAGUCUGCCUAGUCAUAGGGCUAAAGAAUUAUUUAAGCUUGUUAGACUAAAAUACCGGUCAUUUAUAAACUAAAUCUAAUUCUAAACCUAACCCUUACUCAAUUUAUAACCUGUAUCACCGCCCCAAUUUGUGUAAAAUUUAAUAUAGGAAGUAUGUAAAAUUGUAAAUGUACUGGCUUGUCUAAUUCAGUAAUAGUUUUAUAUUAUCUGUUUAUUUGCUAUAUUGAAAAAUGUUGAUUCUUUUAAAUUUUACUGGUCUCGAACUAAAAAAAUAGUAAUCCAAUUGUAUCUUGCAGAAUAUACUAUAUAGGCCCCGGUAAAAAUAAAAUUUGAUAUUACCGAUUAUGUAUUCAUUAGUAUGGUACAGCUGUGAUUCAUUUGGCUAAAAAAAAAACAAAAAUAUUUUAGCAAUAUUGCUUGGUAAACUUUUUCAAAACACGAUCUACUAUUUCAGAACGGCGAAAUUAGAUCAUUUUCUAGUGCCAAGAUUCAUACCAUUUUACUGAUUUAUUUAAACGCCGUUAAAUUUAGAUUAUAGUAUGAAAAAUACAUUUGUAAAUGAGCAAUUAUCAAUGCAAUUAGAUAGUUGAACUACCUAUUACAUACUAUUAUAACACAUUCAGUGCCAGCGCGAGCUACGCGCUAUUACCUAAACUCUAAAUCAUAAUUAGAUUUCAAAAAAAGUAAGACAAUGUUGCCACUUUUUACUAGCGCGUCUUGUAUUUAUGUAAAAAUAAGUAAGUAAAAGUACUUCUUUAAAUCGUAGGAGUAAAAUUACCAAUAAAUAAAUUAUCUUAGCGUGUUUAUUUGUAAAAAGGAAUUUACUAUUUUACAAACAAAUUAUUGCAGUGGCAACAUUGUCUUACUUUUUUUGGAAUCUAAUUAUGAUUUAGAGUAUAGCAUAGCGGAUAACGAGGGAAAACCUUAUGUAGCUAAAAGUGCCUACAAAUAGAGAACCCGCCUAGCGGGUUGCUGGCAGUGAAUGUGUUAAGCAUACUAAACGUAGUCAUAUAUAAAACGGCCUUUAUAGCCGUAACACACUACCGCACCGCGACCUUAGUGCGGUACGGUAGUUAUUUACGGCUAUUAAUCUUCCACCCUACAUAGCCAAAUGAAUAACAGCAGACGAAAUAAUGGUAAUACUAGAUACAAAUAGAAAUCAUGACGCUAUAUCUCUCUCUCUUUUCCUUUCUGCGUGUAUAGUGAAUAUGGGAUGAAUAGUAGGUAAAUUAGACCAAAAAGACAUGGCCUAUGAUCGUAACUGAAAUGGUGCUAUAGUCGUGUAGAUCUCAUAUCAGAUUGUGAGAGACGUGCUUGAGUUGUAGGUUCGCAGUAAUGAAUCGGUUGUGUUACGUAAUGUUACAGAUUAUUCUUAGUACUUAUAGAUAAUUAAAUUAUUUAAUAUUUAA
Cydia splendana is the source of this 2159-nucleotide long non-coding RNA. RefSeq lists it as uncharacterized. The transcript has 2 exons. NCBI's taxonomy places the organism in Eukaryota, Metazoa, Arthropoda, Insecta, Lepidoptera, Tortricidae. The record is from RefSeq and is a predicted model, not a curated record.